ACGGAAGGCAGCAGUGGGGAAUAUUGCACAAUGGGGGAAACCCUGAUGCAGCGAUGCCGCGUGGAGGAAGAAGGUUUUCGGAUUGUAAACUCCUGUCUUAAAGGACGAUAAUGACGGUACUUUAGGAGGAAGCUCCGGCUAACUACGUGCCAGCAGCCGCGGUAAUACGUAGGGAGCGAGCGUUGUCCGGAAUUACUGGGUGUAAAGGGAGCGUAGGCGGGAUGGUAAGUUAGAUGUGAAAGGCGAGGGCUUAACCCUCGAGCUGCAUUUAAAACUGCUGUUCUUGAGUGAAGUAGAGGUAAGCGGAAUCCCUGGUGUAGCGGUGAAAUGCGUAGAUAUCAGGAGGAACACCGGUGGCGAAGGCGGCUUACUGGGCUUUAACUGACGCUGAGGCUCGAAAGCGUGGGUAGCAAACAGGAUUAGAUACCCUGGUA
Molecule: ribosomal RNA, 434 nt
Filed under: uncultured Ruminococcus sp.
Lineage: Bacteria; Bacillati; Bacillota; Clostridia; Eubacteriales; Oscillospiraceae
Description: bacterial SSU rRNA
Rfam family: Bacterial small subunit ribosomal RNA
Source: RNAcentral